AUUGAACGCUGGCGGCAGGCCUAACACAUGCAAGUCGAACGAGUGGCGGACGGGUGAGUAAUGUCUGUGAAACUGCCCGAUGGAGGGGGAUAACUACUGGAACCGGUAGCUAAUACCGCAUACCAUCGGAUGUGCCCAGAUGGGCUUAGCCAGUAGGUGGGGUAACGGCUCACCUAGGCGACGAUCCCUAGCUGGUCUGAGAGGAUGACAAGGCACACGGGAACUGAGAAACGGUCCAGACGCCGACGGGAGGCAGGAGGGGGGAAUAUUGCACAAUGGGAGCAAGCCUGAUGCAGCCAUGCCGCGUGUAUGCAGAAGGGCUGCGGGUUGUAAAGUACUUUCAGUGAGGAGGCGUUACUCGCAGAAGAAGCACCGGCUAACUCCGUGCCAGCAGCCGCGGUAAUUC
This 406-nucleotide ribosomal RNA is filed under the name uncultured bacterium. RNAcentral's name for it is "partial 16S ribosomal RNA". It matches the Rfam family "Bacterial small subunit ribosomal RNA", at positions 29 to 526 of the family's 1533-position model. The record is from RNAcentral.